GAUGAACGCUGGCGGCGUGCCUAAUACAUGCAAGUCGAGCGAACAGACGAGGAGCUUGUUCCUCUGACGUUAGCGGCGGACGGGUGAGUAACACGUGGAUAACCUACUUAUAAGACUGGGAUAACUUCGGGAAACCGGAGCUAAUACCGGAUAAUAUAUUGAACCGCAUGGUUCAAUAGUGAAAGACGGUUUUGCUGUCACUUAUAGAUGGAUCCGCGCCGCAUUAGCUAGUUGGUAAGGUAACGGCUUACCAAGGCGACGAUGCGUAGCCGACCUGAGAGGGUGAUCGGCCACACUGGAACUGAGACACGGUCCAGACUCCUACGGGAGGCAGCAGUAGGGAAUCUUCCGCAAUGGGCGAAAGCCUGACGGAGCAACGCCGCGUGGGUGAUGAAGGUCUUCGGAUCGUAAAACUCUGUUAUUGGGGAAGAACAGAUGUGUAAGUAACUAUGCACGUCUUGACGGUACCUAAUCAGAAAGCAACGGCUAACUACGUG
RNAcentral lists this ribosomal RNA (497 nucleotides) under uncultured bacterium. RNAcentral describes it as "partial 16S ribosomal RNA". It matches the Rfam family "Bacterial small subunit ribosomal RNA", at positions 28 to 507 of the family's 1533-position model. The record is from RNAcentral.